This is a ribosomal RNA of 437 nucleotides. It matches the Rfam family "Bacterial small subunit ribosomal RNA", at positions 341 to 792 of the family's 1533-position model.
ACGGGAGGCAGCAGUGGGGAAUAUUGCACAAUGGGCGCAAGCCUGAUGCAGCGAUGCCGCGUGAGGGAAGAAGGUUUUCGGAUUGUAAACUUCUUUUAUGAGGGACGAAGGACGUGACGGUACCUCAUGAAUAAGCCACGGCUAACUACGUGCCAGCAGCCGCGGUAAUACGUAGGUGGCAAGCGUUAUCCGGAUUUACUGGGUGUAAAGGGCGCGUAGGCGGGGAUGCAAGUCAGAUGUGAAAUCUAUGGGCUUAACUCAUAAACUGCAUUUGAAACUGUAUCUCUUGAGUGCUGGAGAGGUAGACGGAAUUCCUAGUGUAGCGGUGAAAUGCGUAGAUAUUAGGAAGAACACCAGUGGCGAAGGCGGUCUACUGGACAGUAACUGACGCUGAGGCGCGAAAGCGUGGGGAGCAAACAGGAUUAGAUACCCUGGUA